UCUUAAUCCAACAUCGAGGUCGCAACCCAUUUUGUCGAUAUGAACUCUCAAAAAUGAUUACGCUGUUAUCCCUAAGGUAACUUAAUCUUUUGAUCAUAAAUUAUGGAUCAAAUAAACAUAAAUCAAUGAUUUAAUAAUGAAGAGUUUAUUUAUCCUUCAAGUCGCCCCAACUAAACAUUAAAAAACUUAUAUUAAAAGAUAAGCUAAAAUAAUACAAAACUUAUAAAUGUUAAGCUCUAUAGGGUCUUCUCGUCCUAAAGAAAUAUUUAAGCCUUUUAACUUAAAAGUUAAAUUCUAAAAUUUAUUAAGAGACAGUUAAUUUCUCGUGAAACCAUUCAUUCAAGCCUCUAAUUAAGAAACUAAUGAUUAUGCUACCUUUGCACGGU
This 386-nucleotide ribosomal RNA is filed under the name Trachyrhachys kiowa (Kiowa grasshopper). RNAcentral describes it as "partial 16S ribosomal RNA". The record is from RNAcentral. Lineage: Eukaryota; Metazoa; Arthropoda; Insecta; Orthoptera; Acrididae.